UUGUGAAUUAACAUUGAAGAAACGUGUCAUUCUUGAGAGAAAAAGAAAUAAUUGAUUUCGCUGGGGUUCUUUGUUUCAGCCGAUUACUCGAAAGUUCAAUCACACUCGGCGAUGUCGAGCUGUCACUCAUGAAAAUCAGCCCCCAGCGAUGCAUAUUUCGUACAUGAAUAACGGAUGCUCAAUGCUAAUUGGAACAGCAUAUAUACGAACGGAUGAAAACAGUCAACGAACGAGGGUGGUAGAGAAAAAAGCAGGAAGAUUGAAGUGCGUGGCUAAUUGGAGGCAGGGCUCAACGGUAUUGGGGCAGUUUUCCUCGUCGCUUGCAUCGCCGCAAUCGUCGUCUCCGUCGCAUCGGUACUCAAUCUUUAUGCACCGAGGUGUAGCGCACUCGAAGUAAUUUUCUCCGCAAUGAACAUCUUGGAAUAUUUCUGGGGAACCAAGCGCAAGACCACCCGUUCAAACAAGUCGAAAAAGUCCUUUUCAUGACUUUUUGAGCGAUUUGACAGAUCCGGACUCAUGAAUUGUGCACGAUUUUGGAAUUUGACUGGUUAGAGAAACUCACCGCAUUUCGCUUCGUCGGAACCAUCACGACAAUCGUAUUCACCGUCGCAUCUGUACUCGUUCAUGAUGCACAUUCCGUCCGGACAAGUGAAUUCAUCUUCUUUGCAUUUCCUGAAAAAAUGCACGAGCCACCGCUAUAGUUUCCAUACGGAGUGUUUCGAACAAAUGAAAGAAAAAACGAAGACGAGAAAUAUGUUGCCCACGCGAUGGGCUUGGAAAAACAAUGCUGUACGCGAGAUAGAAUGAGAGGAGUGAUCAUUCAUGCUGCAAAAGUUUCGCACACCUAGUGAGUGGAGUAUUAAUUUCCUAUGGAGCAGCUAUAUCGGGUUGGAUGUCACCCGACACGUACACCCUUUGUCAGCUACGUGUACCCUAUUCAUUGCUUCAUUCAGAGCUAAAAUUCGAGUGAACGAGCACGAUCCCCCAAAUUUUCGACGGAAUAUGUGCUCUCCGAAAAAAUGGACCCCUCCGCAGUACGGUGAUCUCAUGUACCAGAUGAAGAACUACCCACCCUGCCUCGCAAUCACAUUUCCUAGCUCAAAUUACCCCACAGCAGAUAUGCUUCAGGGAUCAGGGGAGAAAAACAGAGGGAAGCUGAAUGAAAAAACUUCCAGGACAAGACUGAGGUACUCCGGGAGCGACGCAUGGGGAGUCAAAAAUCACGAGAGGGUCGUCGACGAAAAUCGAUCUACCGAGUCUGUGAAUAUGGACAAGAGCAUCGAGAUCGCAGAAGGAACUCCAAGUGCGAACUACAUUCACGAUUUCAUCGGCCUUACUGAUUGAAAGAUUUGGAUAUUUAUAAAGUGGAGAGAAAAUAUGUUUUGGUCGGUACACAUCCACGAUUGAUUCUUCUCGAGAACACACGAGGCUGAAAAGGGAGAACUUUUUCUUCCGGGCAAGAAGUCAAACGUGUCGUUAAGGGCCGACGCUUUCGUAUGCCUGUAUCAUCUUGAUCUAUAGCGAAUUAUGAUAUAGAUAUUGAAGGAUGUAUGCUGUGUCGUAGGGAAGACGAGACGUGGGCGAAAAAAUCUCAGCGUGGGCAGCUGAUACUCCGACAUCAAAAUAAGUCUCCUACAGAAGGAAUGCCUCUCGACAAUGGCGAAAAAAUCGAAUUACAGAUGCGUAUACGACCGACUCGACCUUUAUCAUCGAGCAAUAUCGACUCUGCUAUCCGGAGCUUCGUCGAGGGCGCAGUCUUCUUCGUCCGAGUAAUCCAUGCAAUCGUUGUCUCCGUCGCAGAGCCAGGCCCUCUCGACGCACAAACCGUUUCGACACUGAAACUGCUCCUCCGUGCAAUUCAAUCGAUUUCCUGCGACAAAAAAGCCACCAGUUUUGCAAAACUUGGAGAAAUUGAGCAACCUUCGCUUCUCUAGCCUCCAAAGAAUCUCUCUUCAUGGCAAUCAGCCCGGUAGAGGUACCAACCGCAAGGCGCCUCGUCCGAAUAAUCUCCACAGUCAUCGUCACCGUCGCAUAUCCACGAGUCUGAUAUGCAAUGCCCGGAUAUAGGACAGCGGCGAUUCCUUUGCCCGUAACAAUUUCCGUUCGAGUUUCUCUCCUCCAGUACCUCGUCGCAGUUCACUUCGUCCUCGUUGUUCUCGCAAUCCAUCUGACAAACGAUAACCGAACAUUUCAUAAGAGGAUUCCUCGCAUUCGAGCUAGAGAGAUCGUCGUCGUACGAGAAAAAUGAGUUGAAUGACACGAAAAUUUCGGCACCUUUCCAUCGCAACGCUGUUCCAUGCUGACACAAAUGCACGAACUAGAGCAAAGGAAAUAACCACCGAGGCAAAUCCAUCCGCAGGGUGCAACGAAGUCGGUGAAAUCGCUUUCAUCCUCGAGCUCCUGUAUCAGUGUCUUUUGAUCAGGCCCGAAUCGGUCAGGAUCAGCUUCACCGACCGGCCCUACACCGUGACCACGCUCCAGGCCAUUGUUGAACCUCGAACGAUCGGCAACCUCCCGAUCUUCGUAUCCUGCUCGCAACAAUUCGAACAUGCAACUGUAAAUGCAGUUGUUGGUGCGCUCUGGGAAUUGAGGGCAGCUGGAGGAUCAAUCCCGUGUGCACACUCUUACGUUCAAAACAUUUUCCGGAAAAGGAGGAAAGCGUUUGCUCAAGUAACAAAAUUUUGUAAUGAAGCACCGUAAACUCCACCUCGUCCCCGGCCACCGCGAUCAACACCGCGUGACAUUCCACCUGUACGUCCUUGUCCAUAAAUCCCGCCGUUUGAAACGGGUAUACGCAUGCCAUUUACCGGUGCGCCAUUUCUGUAACUGGGAACGUCACUCGGCUGAUGAUAGUCCGAGGGUUGUCCGGGUAUUCUUGGGAACAUUCCCGGUGUCAGGUGGAAAGGAUUACGAGCGAGAAGAAGCAGCAGAUUGGAUUAAUAAACUCGAGGGAAAAGUCCACUCGUUCUUGUUUCAAUGGGCUAGGUGAAAGAAUACUUUGAGGGUUUAAAGUGGUAAUUCAGGAUUAAAUCGACUUUAUCACUUGGCAAUAAGGAUUCUUUAGAAUAUGGAUUCCGUGGAUGCUCGAACGAGAUGCAACAGCGAAUGAAUUCUGGGUCACAAGUUUUGAGAGACCGUUCAGAUGAGAAACAAUUACGAAUUUAUUCAUUAAUGAAGAAUACAUUGAAGAUAUGUCGUCUUUUUGAUUGAGCUCGGGUAAGUUCGUACCUUCAGGAUGUUCAGGCAGAUCGAGAUGUCCCAGUGAUUUCUCAUCCUGCCUCACAUCGUUCCUCGUAUCCUGAGUAUUUUUGUCCCGAGCGUGUCCAGACAUCGCCGUGGUGACAUCGAGUACCGGGCCGCUUCCUGUUUGUCUCAAACUUCCGCUGCCAUACAUUUGCCUGGCAGCACCUCGGUUCACUGGAAGAUGAGUCGAUGUCUCGACGCACAUCGCGCCUCCUGAUCAAAAUUGUUAUUUUACUUAGCAAAAUUAGAGUUCUACUGCGAUGUGCUACCAGUGAACUUGAAGUGUUCAUUGAAUUUGGGGCUUUCAUCUCUUUCUCUCUGACCCUGCCAGAGAUAAAAAAUUUUUCAAACUCUGCAUACCGAAAUAAAAGGCGUAACGAGCCUUCGUCGAAGUACGAUGUGAAAGGCCCUGGACGAAUGAAUGUGCGAAUUAAAAAAAAAAAAAAAAAAAAUCAGCAGCCAUUUUACACGUGGAGACUGUAUAUUGGAUUCAGAGUUCUUAUUUUCGUCAAUCGUCAAACGGCAUGCCUCCUACAUAUAUUUGCAAAGUAUUCUGUGCCUCAGGGCAAAAUAAUCUUGAAUUUCUUUCUCCCCGAGGUGUUUACUGAAUGUCCAUGUCUUUGAUGUACGACUCUACACAAAACGAGUGUAUUUUGCAUAUUCAUUUCGAUAGGCUUCUUUCAUAGCGUUGAAUACGAAAGAGGGUUGGAACUUUUCAAAUGCUACGCUAACGAUAAGCAGUUCUACGAACCAUGUUAAAUUCCCCAAAGAAUUUUCUUCCUGUAGAUGCAUAAAAAUAACGAUCUAUAGUCUAAAAAUAGAACAUCUGAGCGUCCCCAUUCACGUAUUCGCGUUCAAGGUAUAUGCAGUGGGUGUGCAUAUAUGUCUGCGCUUCAAUUGACGUUUUGUACGAAGGAGGAAUCCGUGUCACGUGUUCCAAAUACAGAUAUUUAUGGGUCUACGGAACGCAGGGGAAUGUCAAAUAAAAUUUGAACCCAUAGAAUGUCCAUCGAUCUUUUUUCACGUUUCAUGUUGAAUGCUCAUUUCCCUCGAUUAACUGAGCCUUUAUAGCGAGGGUAUUGCAUAGAACUUGACCUACUGUAGACGACUUUAAUCUUGAGUUUUUGAGGAUAGGAAACGGAGCUGAUUCUGCAGCUCCUAAUCAGGUCCACGAAAGCCUCGCAUUUAUUUGGGGUUUGCUCCAUUCAUUGGACUCCUUUUUUCUGAUUACUUUGUGAAGGCUCAGCUUUACUGCUGCCUAAGGGGGUUGCUUUUUUCAUGAAAAUUGUCUUUUCUUUUUCAGGCCUGUUCCGCCGAAGCAGCGAACCGAGAUCCUCUGUGCUAUUGGGCUGUGAACUCACUUCGAAGUAGUUGAAACUGAAAACUUGGUGGAAGCCAUGCACACCGUCGAAGUACGUGGAUCCAUGGUCCAAGUUUGAUUUAAUUGACGCUCAUUUUACCAGCUACGUUGGAAACGGUGUGGGAGCGGAUGAUGUAAUGCGAUGGUGUACCUCGGGUGCGAAAUGGGUAAUGGAUUUGGAAAAUUCAUUGGACAGUCACGAAUCCAUGAAUGACUGGAGACAGCGCGGAGGCAUGAAUUCCUGGAACUCAACGAUCACGGGUAUAAACUGGAGUCCCCAGAGAGAGGGAGAGAGAGAGAGAAGCUGGAACGUUUCAUCGUACGAACGGUUGCGCAUGAAAGUUUGAUAACUCCAUGGAGACCUGGACUCGCAUCAGGAUCAUAGUACAUACAAAAUUCUAUAUGUAUUCAUACACUGACCUGUCCAUAACGAGAGGAUGAUAAAAAGAAGAGGCAUGGGUUGUUUUAUAGUCCGGGCCAUCAGGUCGUCCGCGCUCGACCUCAUUUUUCGAGUGCUCCAAGCGCGAGGGUCUCGAGUUUUCAACAUCGAUCAGGUGAGAGAGCCCUCUUCGAAUCUAGCUCGCGUCUUGCGUCUAAGCUUUUGUCAUCCAGCAAUAUAAACUUGGAAUAAAUUCGUGCUUAUUCAACCAUUGGCUCGUGAGACAUUGUCAUCCUGUUGAUUGCUCUCGAUGAAGCAUCGAAUGAAAAGUCACUGAGAACGAAAACAAUCACUAAAAUCGCACUGUAUUAUCAAUUCGCUCGUCAGGCUCGCCGUUGACAAUUAAAAGUGCAGAUUCUCCGGCCACCGAGUUUCUUCCACUCUGGAGCUUGAUUCAAUCACAUUUACAUCUAAGAUCAUAAAUGCUGAUCCGAGGAUCGAGGCGAGGUAGCCGGAUAUUAACAGCCUGUUGUAGAACCGAGCUACGCAAUUUUCCAGCACGUCGACGAGAACUCUCAACGGUUUCCAAGCAACUAGUGCAUCGGACCGAAUUUCCGCAUUUUUUUUCCAAGUAUCGAACUUUUUCCGAACAUCGUAUGCUGUCAAAGUUGUCUUUUCUCUCGUACCAAACUCGAUUAAAGCAGAUAAAGUCUUUUCAUCUCUGCUGUCGUAAGGAGAGCGCAACACCCUCCGCACGGGAAGGGUUGAUGCGAUUCCUCCUUCGUGGAUUUUUCUCUAAUGAUUCGCCUACAUAUUAGUGCCCCUGGGAGUAAUUUUUAUAAAUUAUUUCAGCUCGUUUCAUCAAAAUAAUGUCGAGUUAACGCGUUUACACGAUUAUCAGCGGAGGGCGAGCGCUUAUCAACUUCAGCACAUGUGCCACCGAGGGUUUCACGAUCCCGACUGGAGGGUGUCGACGAGACUCGUACAGGACCGGGCGACCGACGCAGAAUCUAACGCGCAGGAGUCGUAAAAAGCUGCCCCGAUACUAUAUAUGGAAAUAGAUAUUCAAAUAUAUAUGAAUAUUUUUACCAA
Long non-coding RNA from Venturia canescens, 6074 nucleotides. RefSeq lists it as uncharacterized. The transcript is spliced from 10 exons. NCBI's taxonomy places the organism in Eukaryota, Metazoa, Arthropoda, Insecta, Hymenoptera, Ichneumonidae. The record is from RefSeq and is a predicted model, not a curated record.